RNAcentral lists this ribosomal RNA (253 nucleotides) under uncultured microorganism. Its description in RNAcentral is "partial 16S ribosomal RNA". It matches the Rfam family "Bacterial small subunit ribosomal RNA", at positions 524 to 776 of the family's 1533-position model. The record is from RNAcentral.
UACGUAGGGUGCGAGCGUUAAUCGGAUUUACUGGGCGUAAAGCGUGCGCAGGCGGCCCGUUAAGACAGGUGUGAAAUCCCUGGGCUUAACCUAGGAAUUGCGCUUGUGACUGGAGGGCUCGAGUACGGUAGAGGGGGGUGGAAUUCCUGGUGUAGCAGUGAAAUGCGUAGAGAUCAGGAGGAACACCGAUGGCGAAGGCAGCCACCUGGGCCUGUACUGACGCUCAUGCACGAAAGCGUGGGGAGCAAACAGG